This 369-nucleotide ribosomal RNA is filed under the name uncultured phototrophic eukaryote. RNAcentral's name for it is "SSU rRNA". It matches the Rfam family "Bacterial small subunit ribosomal RNA", at positions 524 to 896 of the family's 1533-position model. The record is from RNAcentral.
UACGGGGGAUGCAAGCGUUAUCCGGAAUCAUUGGGCGUAAAGCGCCUGUAGGUGGUUUAAUAAGUCUGUUGUUAAAGCCUAGGGCUCAACCCUAGAAAAGCAAUGGAAACUACUAGACUAGAGUGUGGCAGGGGUAGAGGGAAUUUCUAGUGUAGCGGUGAAAUGCGUAGAUAUUAGAAAGAACACCGGUGGCGAAAGCGCUCUACUGGACCAUUACUGACACUCAGAGGCGAAAGCUAGGGUAGCAAAAGGGAUUAGAUACCCCUGUAGUCCUAGCCGUAAACGAUGGAUACUAGAUGUUGUUCUUAAUGCACAGUAUCGUAGCUAACGCGUUAAGUAUCCCGCCUGGGGAGUACGCUCGCAAGGGUG